CCCUGCUGCUUCAAGGCAUGUUUGUCUUCCCUCAGCUCGGGCGAGUGGCAGAUGUUGUGGCAGAACCAUCACGGAUGAGAGAAACCCACGGCCAACGUCAUCCUCCAAGAGCAAAUAUUGCAGGCAGAUGCCUGACGUGUCAUUUAAAUAGAAGAAGGCUCUAAAGGGUUGCAGGUAAACAGAGUGUCAAUCAUCAGGAUUAGUUCAGACGGAAACGCUCGGCUCCUCUUUGUUACACGCUUUGGGGGAAACUCUGCGGCGAUGUCAUCCACUGUGUCUGUGCCAGAUUGCAAAAGCUGCAAUAUCACGAUUGCGGCUCAAUACGUGCGUCACAUGUCUGCUUAUGAGAAGAAUUCAAUUAAAAAUUAAAAAUCUGUCACCCUUGUGUGAUUCCAAA
This is a long non-coding RNA of Carassius gibelio (silver crucian carp), 397 nucleotides long. RefSeq lists it as uncharacterized. The record is from RefSeq and is a predicted model, not a curated record. NCBI's taxonomy places the organism in Eukaryota, Metazoa, Chordata, Actinopteri, Cypriniformes, Cyprinidae. The transcript has 2 exons.